Molecule: ribosomal RNA, 724 nt
Filed under: uncultured Fusobacterium sp.
Lineage: Bacteria; Fusobacteriati; Fusobacteriota; Fusobacteriia; Fusobacteriales; Fusobacteriaceae
Description: bacterial SSU rRNA
Rfam family: Bacterial small subunit ribosomal RNA
Source: RNAcentral
GAUGAACGCUGACAGAAUGCUAAACACAUGCAAGUCGACUCGAGUCUUCGGACUUGGGUGGCGCACGGGUGAGUAACGCGUAAAGAACUUGCCUCUUAGACCGGGACAACAUCUGGAAACGGAUGCUAAUACCGGAUAUUAUGGUUUUUUCGCAUGGAGGAAUCAUGAAAGCUAGAUGCGCUAAGAGAGAGCUUUGCGUCCCAUUAGCUAGUUGGUGAGGUAACGGCCCACCAAGGCAAUGAUGGGUAGCCGGCCUGAGAGGGUGAACGGCCACAAGGGGACUGAGACACGGCCCUUACUCCUACGGGAGGCAGCAGUGGGGAAUAUUGGACAAUGGACCACAAGUCUGAUCCAGCAAUUCUGUGUGCACGAUGACGUUUUUCGGAAUGUAAAGUGCUUUCAGUCGGGAAGAAGUCAGUGACGGUACCGACAGAAGAAGCGACGGCUAAAUACGUGCCAGCAGCCGCGGUAAUACGUAUGUCGCAAGCGUUAUCCGGAUUUAUUGGGCGUAAAGCGCGUCUAGGCGGCAAGGAAAGUCUGAUGUGAAAAUGCGGAGCUCAACUCCGUAUGGCGUUGGAAACUGCCUUACUAGAGUACUGGAGAGGUAGGCGGAACUACAAGUGUAGAGGUGAAAUUCGUAGAUAUUUGUAGGAAUGCCGAUGGGGAAGCCAGCCUACUGGACAGAUACUGACGCUAAAGCGCGAAAGCGUGGGUAGCAAACAGG